Molecule: small RNA, 124 nt
Filed under: Marmota monax (woodchuck)
Lineage: Eukaryota; Metazoa; Chordata; Mammalia; Rodentia; Sciuridae
Source: RNAcentral
GCUGGGUGUGGGGGCCCAUGCCUGUAAUUCUAGCAGCUCAGGAGGCUGAGGUAAGAGGAUCACAAGUUCAAAGCCAGCCUCAGAAAUGGUGAGAUGCUAAGCAAUCAGUGAGACCCUGUCUUUU